AUACGUAGGGAGCAAGCGUUGUCCGGAAUUACUGGGCGUAAAGGGCGUGUAGGCGGCCGAUCAAGUCAGGUGUGAAAUUUCAGGGCUCAACCCUGAGCGUGCACUUGAAACUGGUUGGCUUGAGUGCAGAAGAGGAAAGUGGAAUUCCCAGUGUAGCGGUGAAAUGCGUAGAUAUUGGGAGGAACACCAGUGGCGAAGGCGACUUUCUGGUCUGUAACUGACGCUGAGGCGCGAAAGCUAGGGGAGCGAACAGGAUUAGAUACCCUGGUAGUCCUAGCCGUAAACGAUGGGUACUAGGUGUAGGGGGUUUAGACGCCCUCUGUGCCGCAGUUAACACAUUAAGUACCCCGCCUGGGGAGUACGGCCGCAAGGCUGAAACUUAAAGGAAUUGACGGGG
Molecule: ribosomal RNA, 397 nt
Filed under: uncultured bacterium
Lineage: Bacteria
Description: partial 16S ribosomal RNA
Rfam family: Bacterial small subunit ribosomal RNA
Source: RNAcentral